Molecule: transfer RNA, 72 nt
Filed under: Camelus bactrianus (Bactrian camel)
Lineage: Eukaryota; Metazoa; Chordata; Mammalia; Artiodactyla; Camelidae
Also listed under: 1 other name
Rfam family: tRNA
About the family: Transfer RNA (tRNA) molecules are approximately 80 nucleotides in length. Their secondary structure includes four short double-helical elements and three loops (D, anti-codon, and T loops). Further hydrogen bonds mediate the characteristic L-shaped molecular structure. tRNAs have two regions of fundamental functional importance: the anti-codon, which is responsible for specific mRNA codon recognition, and the 3' end, to which the tRNAs corresponding amino acid is attached (by aminoacyl-tRNA synthetases). tRNAs cope with the degeneracy of the genetic code in two manners: having more than one tRNA (with a specific anti-codon) for a particular amino acid; and 'wobble' base-pairing, i.e. permitting non-standard base-pairing at the 3rd anti-codon position.
Source: Rfam by way of RNAcentral
GAGGGUAUAGCUCAGUGGUAGAUUGCACACUUAGCAUGUAUGAGGUACUGGGUUCAAUCCCCAGUACCUCCU